GUUUUUAAGCAGCUUCAUCAAACAUGAGGGGAAUGAAUGAAAUGUCUGAGCUCCUUGUGUGUGAGAAGCUUUCACCCCCAGCCUCUAAGAGACCAAUCACCACUUUGACCUGCUUCUACUUUAAUAUGAGACUCCUCAGUGAGGACAUGAUGGAGGAGAUGAAAAGAUGCUGCUGACAGGAGGAAACUAGACAGCAGAGGACGGUUCAUCCGUCCCUAAUAAAACUCAGACCGGGUCCAGCAUCAGAUGAGAGAACUCUUCAGACCUAAAGCCUCAGCAGUCCAGGCAUGUACUCAAGACCUGGACCGGAGGGUCGCCACGGUCUUUAAGACACAAGACUCACAAACACUUUGGCAGCUGGACGUCCCGACCGAGGAAAAGGCUAAAAUCAGGAUCAUGAUACUGGAAACAAGGACGUCGUCCUUCUUCCGGGACAUCCAGCUGUUCCGUCAUCAAACGUGGCACAAAGCAGAAGCUGCUGAACGAGGGCAUGAACUGAACGGAUCUGAAUUCCAGAAAUCUGGGACCAACGGAGUUCCUGAACCAAUAAGAGACGCCUUUGGAGGGAAGCUGUCAGCUGAUGUCAGCCUAGAGUUUCUGACGGCAUGUGGCAACAGACUGAUUUCAGCCAAACUGCAGCUGGACAGCAGCUGGAUGCAGAUCUGAUACACAAAGUCUAGAAAUGGAAAGUUGUGUCCAUCAGACCAACACAGCGGAUUCUGGGAUGUUCUGCUCUCUUGGUGAAACAAGCUAAACAUUGUCAGUCAGCACUAAUCUUUGUAACGUCAGCUCUUCAUGAACUUUCUUUAAACUUUGUGUCUAUGAACAAACUGAAGACGUGUUAAAUUUCUAGCGAGGAGUAAAUGUGGGGCUUUGCUCUGGAAUUUGACUGAGAUCUAAUAAUGAGGGAAUCUGCUGCUCUACAGAGAUGCCGAUCACCAAAGUCUGGACAACACAGCUUUUAAAGAAACCAACUGCUGACUUUUCACAUACUUUUCAGUUUAACGUAUUCAGAGAUGGACUGAAAACACUUGGUGUGCUGGACUAAAUCCAAGCUCAGCUCUUCUGUGCUGGUCUCCUGCAGCCUCUCAGCUGAUGUGGCCGACAGUCUUUUCAUUAUCCGCCAUCUCCAGCUGGCAGCAACAGAAGCUGCUGAGGAAGUUCUUCCUUUCUGGAGACACACGCAGAAAUGAGGAAGGAACAGAAACUGGGAACGAUCCUCGCCUUUUCCACAGGAGCCAACACUCCUUCACCGACUGGGUUCUCUCCUCCACAAAGAGGAGGAUUCAGGAAGCUGCAAAGCUGCCGCUGCAAACAGCUGCACUAACUGCUUGAAGCUACGCUGCAGACCUCAUACGGAGACCUUCAGGAAAACAGGGGCUCUGCGGUGGGCGGGACCCUUGGUUUUAGCCCAGCGUAAUAUGUGUACAGGUCUGG
This is a long non-coding RNA of Melanotaenia boesemani (Boeseman's rainbowfish), 1437 nucleotides long. RefSeq lists it as uncharacterized. The record is from RefSeq and is a predicted model, not a curated record. NCBI's taxonomy places the organism in Eukaryota, Metazoa, Chordata, Actinopteri, Atheriniformes, Melanotaeniidae. The transcript has 6 exons.